RNAcentral lists this non-coding RNA (48 nucleotides) under Trichobilharzia regenti. The record is from RNAcentral. Lineage: Eukaryota; Metazoa; Platyhelminthes; Trematoda; Strigeidida; Schistosomatidae.
AUCCAGCUGAGGAGUCCAAAAUAGGGAGAAAUGCGCGUUAUCCUGGAU